UGAUAUUUGUAGUCUUUUUGUUUGAAAAGAAAUAUGUAUCACAAGUUAUGCUUUCCUAAACAGGCAUCUAUAAAUGACCAAGAAUCUAACACAAUACAUGAUUGAGCACAUGUGGUAGAACGUGAAGACUGAAAGAGAGCAAGGCAAAAACAAGAGCAUAGAUUGGAAUCUCAGUCUCAGAGAAAAAAGAAAGGAGAUAAAGAGAGUUA
Molecule: unclassified non-coding RNA, 209 nt
Filed under: Hevea brasiliensis (rubber tree)
Lineage: Eukaryota; Viridiplantae; Streptophyta; Magnoliopsida; Malpighiales; Euphorbiaceae
Source: RNAcentral